UCUUGGUUGAUUUCUUUUGAUUUCCCCAUGAUGUCAAGCAAAGAGGAACUGAGUUUGAAGAGGGGUGGUGGUGGAGCCCGUGGGGAGCAGAGCAUGGGGCAGGAAAGCCGCCUCUCAAUCGUGGAGCCGGACGGUUCCACCCAGGCAUCCAACCUGGGUACCCUGCGGGUGAGGGGAUUACCCCGAGCCAUUCGGUCCCGAGAUGCCGGACCUAAGCUCUGUCACACAGGACCUCUUUAAGCUCAUUUCCCAGAGCAAGAAACUCCCCACAGCAGUAGUUCAGCCACACAACAUACCUUCAAUCCUCCACACAGCAACAGGGAAGAACAGGGCCCAAAUCUUCCCUCCAGGGCGGUGUCAGUCUUCUCUCAGGGCUGUGUCAGGCCAUGGUGUCUGGCCAUGGUGUCAGGAAGUAUUCCAAGUUACGUGAGACAGAUUCCUCUGUCCAGCCUCAACCAGGCCAUUCAGAAGAUCAACAGUGCCACAGAAAUGUAUUUUGGGACUCUGUUGCCUCAGGUGGUCUUGCAGGGUUUCUGAUGGAGGAGCUGAAGAGGAUCACGGGGGUGGGCAUCAAAGCCCCCAUGUACUUUAGGUGUCUGACUGAGCUGAAGAGGUUGUAGCAUGUGCAGGGAGUAGGUACCAGCGCCAUGUAUAAAAUCCUGUCACAGACGCAUACCUGAUCGGAAUUAAAAUGACAUUCCCUACGUUCUUAAACCUCCCAAAUGACUCGACACUACUGAGUGAGGAUCCAUUUACUGACCAUCAUUUGAGUAGGCCUUGACUUUUUGUUGUUACAUUACAGCCUUAUAUUAAAAUUGAUUCAAUUAUUUGUUUUCCUCAUCACCUCACAAUACCCCACAAGGAGUUAAUUUUAUUCUUCUCUAUAGAUCCUCUCAAGCUCUGUCAGGUUGGAUAUGGAGCAUCGCUGCACAGCUAUUUUCAGGUCUCUACAGAGAAGUCCGGGCUCUGGCUGGGCCACUAAAGGACAUUCAGAAGCUUGUCC
Long non-coding RNA from Oncorhynchus gorbuscha (pink salmon), 1003 nucleotides. RefSeq lists it as uncharacterized. The record is from RefSeq and is a predicted model, not a curated record. The transcript has 4 exons. Lineage: Eukaryota; Metazoa; Chordata; Actinopteri; Salmoniformes; Salmonidae.